GACGAACUUUGGCGGCGUGCUUAACACAUGCAAGUCGAACGGAAAGGCCCUGCUUUUGUGGGGUGCUCGAGUGGCGAACGGGUGAGUAACACGUGAGUAACCUGCCCUUGACUUUGGGAUAGCUUCAGGAAACUGGGGCUAAUACCGGAUAGGAGCUCCUGCUGCAUGGUGGGGGUUGGAAAGUUUCGGCGGUUGGGGAUGGACUCGCGGCUUAUCAGCUUGUUGGUGGGGUAGUGGCUUACCAAGGCUUUGACGGGUAGCCGGCCUGAGAGGGUGACCGGCCACAUUGGGACUGAGAUACGGCCCAGACUCCUACGGGAGGCAGCAGUGGGGAAUAUUGCACAAUGGGCGGAAGCCUGAUGCAGCAACGCCGCGUGCGGGAUGACGGCCUUCGGGUUGUAAACCGCUUUCGCCUGUGACGAAGCGUGAGUGACGGUAAUGGGUAAAGAAGCACCGGCUAACUACGUGCCAGCAGCCGCGGUGAUACGUAGGGUGCGAGCGUUGUCCGGAUUUAUUGGGCGUAAAGGGCUCGUAGGUGGUUGAUCGCGUCGGAAGUGUAAUCUUGGGGCUUAACCCUGAGCGUGCUUUCGAUACGGGUUGACUUGAGGAAGGUAGGGGAGAAUGGAAUUCCUGGUGGAGCGGUGGAAUGCGCAGAUAUCAGGAGGAACACCAGUGGCGAAGGCGGUUCUCUGGGCCUUUCCUGACGCUGAGGAGCGAAAGCGUGGGGAGCGAACAGGCUUAGAUACCCUGGUAGUCCACGCUGUAAACGGUGGGUACUAGGUGUGGGGUCCAUUCCACGGGUUCCGUGCCGUAGCUAACGCUUUAAGUACCCCGCCUGGGGAGUACGGCCGCAAGGCUAAAACUCAAAGGAAUUGACGGGGCCCCGCACAAGCGGCGGAGCAUGCGGACUAAUUCGAUGCAACGCGUAGAACCUUACCUGGGUUUGACAUGGAUCGGGAGUGCUCAGAGAUGGGUGUGCCUCUUUUGGGGUCGGUUCACAGGUGGUGCAUGGCUGUCGUCAGCUCGUGUCGUGAGAUGUUGGGUUAAGUCCCGCAACGAGCGCAACCCUUGUUCACUGUUGCCAGCACGUUAUGGUGGGGACUCAGUGGAGACCGCCGGGGUCAACUCGGAGGAAGGUGGGGAUGACGUCAAGUCAUCAUGCCCCUUAUGUCCAGGGCUUCACGCAUGCUACAAUGGCUGGUACAGAGAGUGGCGAGCCUGUGAGGGUGAGCGAAUCUCGGAAAGCCGGUCUCAGUUCGGAUUGGGGUCUGCAACUCGACCUCAUGAAGUCGGAGUCGCUAGUAAUCGCAGAUCAGCAACGCUGCGGUGAAUACGUUCCCGGGGCU
This 1346-nucleotide ribosomal RNA is filed under the name uncultured bacterium. RNAcentral describes it as "partial 16S ribosomal RNA". It matches the Rfam family "Bacterial small subunit ribosomal RNA", at positions 28 to 1381 of the family's 1533-position model. The record is from RNAcentral.